This 253-nucleotide ribosomal RNA is filed under the name uncultured bacterium. RNAcentral describes it as "partial 16S ribosomal RNA". It matches the Rfam family "Bacterial small subunit ribosomal RNA", at positions 524 to 776 of the family's 1533-position model. The record is from RNAcentral.
UACAGGGGGUGCAAACGUUGCUCGGAAUCAUUGGGCGUAAAGCGCACGUAGGCGGUUCGUUAUGUCGGAUGUGAAAGCCCUUGGCUUAACCGAGGAAGUGCAUCCGAAACUGGCGAGCUAGAGUACUAAAGAGGAUCGCGGAAUUCCCGGUGUAGAGGUGAAAUUCGUAGAUAUCGGGAGGAACACCAGUGGCGAAAGCGGCGCACUGGACCACAACUGACGCUGAGGCGCGAAAGCUAGGGGAGCAAACAGG